CCUACGGGAGGCAGCAGUGGGGAAUAUUGCACAAUGGGGGGAACCCUGAUGCAGCGACGCCGCGUGAGUGAAGAAGUAUUUCGGUAUGUAAAGCCCUAUCAGCAGGGAAGAAAAUGACGGUACCUGACUAAGAAGCCCCGGCUAACUACGGGCCAGCAGCCGCGGUAAUAGGUAGGGGGAAAGCGUUAUCCGGAUUUACGGGGUGUAAAGGGAGCGCAGACGGCUGUGCAAGUCUGGAGUGAAAGGCGGGGGCCCAACCCCCGGACUGCUCUGGAAACUGUAAAGCUGGAGUGCAGGAGAGGUAAGCGGAAUUCCUGGUGUAGCGGUGAAAUGCGUAGAUAUUAGGAGGAACACCAGUGGCGAAGGCGGCUUACUGGACUGCAACUGACGUUGAGGCUCGAAAGCGUGGGGAGCGAACAGGAUUAGAUACCCGUGUAGUC
This 440-nucleotide ribosomal RNA is filed under the name uncultured bacterium. Its description in RNAcentral is "partial 16S ribosomal RNA". It matches the Rfam family "Bacterial small subunit ribosomal RNA", at positions 338 to 795 of the family's 1533-position model. The record is from RNAcentral.